AGUGAACGCUGGCGGCGUGCCUAAUACAUGCAAGUCGAACGGAGUAUUAAGAGAGCUUGCUCUUUUAAUACUUAGUGGCGCACGGGUGAGUAAUGUAUAGUUAAUCUGCCCUACACUGGAGGACAACAGUUAGAAAUGACUGCUAAUACUCCAUACUCCUUCUUAACAUAAGUUAAGUCGGGAAAGUUUUUCGGUGUAGGAUGAGACUAUAUUGUAUCAGCUAGUUGGUAAGGUAAUGGCUUACCAAGGCUUUGACGC
This 258-nucleotide ribosomal RNA is filed under the name Campylobacter fetus. Its description in RNAcentral is "partial 16S rRNA". It matches the Rfam family "Bacterial small subunit ribosomal RNA", at positions 29 to 282 of the family's 1533-position model. Lineage: Bacteria; Pseudomonadati; Campylobacterota; Epsilonproteobacteria; Campylobacterales; Campylobacteraceae. The record is from RNAcentral.